ACAAUUAGUUGGAGCUUUCUUUGGUCAACAGCAGAUGUGACUAAGAAAAUCACGCUGUUUCACUUAGAGCAGUGGUCACCAAGUGUGGUCCUUAGGCCACACAGGUCAGCAUCACCUAGGAACUAGGAAAUGCAAGUUCUUAAGCAAUCCCACCCAGACCUACUGAAUUGGAAGUGCUGAGGAUGGGGUCCAGCAAUCUGUGGUUGAACAAGCUCUGCAGUUAUCUACAAUAGGAAGGAGAAAAGCCAGAUGCCUAGCUUGUCACAUCUGAUACCACGUUCUUCAGGAUCAAGCUUUUCCCAAACAGCAAGCUCAGGUGACCUCGGUGCUGUGGACUCACCCCUAAGUCCGCAAAUGGCCCAUCGAGCAGAGCUAACUGGGCCACGCGGCAGCGGUCCCUAUUGGCCAGUGUCUGCGGGGUGCUGUAGCCACCUCU
Molecule: long non-coding RNA, 436 nt
Filed under: Homo sapiens (human)
Lineage: Eukaryota; Metazoa; Chordata; Mammalia; Primates; Hominidae
Description: KCNMA1 antisense RNA 1
Source: RNAcentral